GGUGGGAAUAAUAAGUUCGGAUAUAUGAGGUGUGGAUCAUGUGGAUGGGGCGUACAGAAUAAAGAAUAAUGAGGGGAAAAGUAAUAUAAAAAAUUGAGAAUCACGGGGCUCUAGAAUAUAAUGAUUAACUGCAACAACAACAAAAAUGGAUACAAAAUACCGAUUACAAAAACAGAACAAUGUCCCAAACACAAUUAUGAAGUAAUUACAGUCUAGCCAUUAUUUUAAAAGAUAAAGAAC
RNAcentral lists this long non-coding RNA (240 nucleotides) under Mytilus galloprovincialis (Mediterranean mussel). Lineage: Eukaryota; Metazoa; Mollusca; Bivalvia; Mytilida; Mytilidae. The record is from RNAcentral.